This 347-nucleotide transfer-messenger RNA is filed under the name uncultured Eubacterium sp. It matches the Rfam family "transfer-messenger RNA". From Rfam's summary of the family: Bacterial tmRNA, also known as 10Sa RNA or SsrA, is named for its dual tRNA and mRNA-like properties. Its role is to liberate the mRNA from a stalled ribosome. The record is from RNAcentral. Lineage: Bacteria; Bacillati; Bacillota; Clostridia; Eubacteriales; Eubacteriaceae.
GGGGUUGUACUGGUUUCGACAGGGAUUUUGAAAUCCCGGCAGCCAUCCGUGGUCCGUGAUCCACGUUAAAAGUGCGGAAAAAAAUAAACGCUGAAAAUAGAACAACAGCACUCGCUGCCUAAGUGCAGCUGUCGGCCCGAGGAUCAUCCGCUGUCCACGGAACCCGGCAUCAAAGAGGCGGAGAACGUUCUUCCCAAAGCUUUGCGGGUUGAAACGAAUUAUGAAGCUACCGGACUUUGCAGCUUGUCUUUGGGCGGCAGAGCGAGGGAAUCCUAAAGCAUAGACUGUGAUGGGAGAUACCGGUAUGGAAGGGUCUUUGGACGCGGGUUCGAUUCCCGCCAGCUCCA